AGCGAACGCUGGCGGCAGGCCUAACACAUGCAAGUCGAACGAACUCUUCGGAGUUAGUGGCGGACGGGUGAGUAACACGUGGGAACGUGCCUUUAGGUUCGGAAUAACUCAGGGAAACUUGUGCUAAUACCGAAUGUGCCCUUCGGGGGAAAGAUUUAUCGCCUUUAGAGCGGCCCGCGUCUGAUUAGCUAGUUGGUGAGGUAACGGCUCACCAAGGCGACGAUCAGUAGCUGGUCUGAGAGGAUGACCAGCCACACUGGGACUGAGACACGGCCCAGACUCCUACGGGAGGCAGCAGUGGGGAAUCUUGCGCAAUGGGCGAAAGCCUGACGCAGCGGCGCCGCGUGAAGGAAGGAGGCCUUCGGGUUGUAAACUUCUUUUUUAUGGGACGAUUGUGACGGUACCAUAAGAAUAAGGACCUGCUAACUACGUGCCAGCAGCCGCCGUAA
This 449-nucleotide ribosomal RNA is filed under the name uncultured bacterium. RNAcentral's name for it is "partial 16S ribosomal RNA". It matches the Rfam family "Bacterial small subunit ribosomal RNA", at positions 29 to 523 of the family's 1533-position model. The record is from RNAcentral.